UACGUAGGUGGCGAGCGUUGUCCGGAUUUACUGGGCGUAAAGGGCGUGCAGGCGGUUUGUUAAGUGCAGGGUGAAAGCUCCCGGCUCAACUGGGAGAGGUCCUUGCAUACUGGCGAACUCGAGGGAGGCAGAGGAAAGUGGAAUUCCCGGUGUAGUGGUGAUAUGCGUAGAUAUCAGGAGGAACACCGGUGGCGAAGGCGGUUCUCUGGGCAUUACCUGACGCUGAGGAGCGAAAGUGUGGGGAGCGAACAGG
Molecule: ribosomal RNA, 253 nt
Filed under: uncultured bacterium
Lineage: Bacteria
Description: partial 16S ribosomal RNA
Rfam family: Bacterial small subunit ribosomal RNA
Source: RNAcentral